AUUGAACGCUGGCGGCAUGCCUUACACAUGCAAGUCGAACGGCAGCACGGGAGCAAUCCUGGUGGCGAGUGGCGAACGGGUGAGUAAUAUAUCGGAACGUGCCCAGUCGUGGGGGAUAACGUAGCGAAAGCUACGCUAAUACCGCAUACGAUCUAUGGAUGAAAGCGGGGGAUCGCAAGACCUCGCGCGAUUGGAGCGGCCGAUAUCAGAUUAGGUAGUUGGUGAGGUAAAGGCUCACCAAGCCGACGAUCUGUAGCUGGUCUGAGAGGACGACCAGCCAGACGGGGACUGAGACACGGCCCAGACUGCUACGGGAGGCAGCAGUGGGGAAUUUUGGACAAUGGGCGCAAGCCUGAUCCAGCAAUGCCGCGUGCAGGAUGAAGGCCUUCGGGUUGUAAACUGCUUUUGUACGGAACGAAACGGCGAGCUCUAAUACAGUUUGCUAAUGACGGUACCGUAAGAAUAAGCACCGGCUAACUACGUGCCAGCAGCCGCCGUAA
RNAcentral lists this ribosomal RNA (500 nucleotides) under uncultured bacterium. Its description in RNAcentral is "partial 16S ribosomal RNA". It matches the Rfam family "Bacterial small subunit ribosomal RNA", at positions 30 to 523 of the family's 1533-position model. The record is from RNAcentral.